Molecule: transfer RNA, 75 nt
Filed under: Cordylochernes scorpioides
Lineage: Eukaryota; Metazoa; Arthropoda; Arachnida; Pseudoscorpiones; Chernetidae
Description: tRNA-Asn
Source: RNAcentral
UGUUCAGGGAUCGGAAUCAAACCCACAGUGUUCCGCUUAACAGGCAGAUGCCAUGUCCACUAGGAUACUCUGGAC